AAGAAAUACUCUUAAUCUCUAAUAAAUCCAAAAGUCAAUAAAUUCCUACUUUGAGUAAGACAAAAACCUUCGAUCAAGGUUCGAAUUGAGCACAGCGAAAUAACAAUAUGUGAAGUAAGAUAACAAUGUGCGAAACGCGUUGAUCCGUAGGAAGGGGAAAGAAGUGACGAAUUAUCCUUCCCCCACACCA
RNAcentral lists this small RNA (190 nucleotides) under Xenorhabdus bovienii str. kraussei Quebec. Its description in RNAcentral is "RtT". The stretch from base 39 to 190 matches the Rfam family "RtT RNA". From Rfam's summary of the family: This family represents a bacterial cis-regulatory element known as RtT RNA. The record is from RNAcentral. Lineage: Bacteria; Pseudomonadati; Pseudomonadota; Gammaproteobacteria; Enterobacterales; Morganellaceae.